RNAcentral lists this ribosomal RNA (564 nucleotides) under Triticum aestivum (bread wheat). RNAcentral's name for it is "partial small subunit ribosomal RNA". The record is from RNAcentral. Lineage: Eukaryota; Viridiplantae; Streptophyta; Magnoliopsida; Poales; Poaceae.
AUGCAGUCUUCUCCUCAGGCGUUCAGUGGUGUCCGUGUGUCGCCCACUCACUGGCAUGCACGCCUUGGUCAUCCUGCAGCUCCCAUAGUUCGUCAUGUGUUGCAUCAUUAUGAGCUACCAGUUGUGUCCAAUAAAACUGCCGAAACUGUCUGUGAUGCCUGUCAGCAGGGCAAGAGUCACCAACUUCCGUUUUCAAAGUCUAGUCGUGUUGUGAGACAUCCUCUUGAGCUUGUGUUUUCUGAUGUCUGGGGUCAUGCCCAGACAUCCGUUAGUGGUCACAAUUAUUAUGACAGUUUUAUUGAUGCUUAUAGUCGGUUUACUUGGCUAUAUCUUAUUAAGCACAAGUCUGCUGUGUUCGAUGUUUUUAUUCAGUUUCAAGCACACGUUGAGCGUCUCCUUAAACAGAAAAUCAUCCAUGUUCAAUCCGACUGGAGUGGUGAAUACCACAACCUCAACUCGUUUUUAACAAACUUGGGAUUUCGCAUCGCGUGUCAUGUCCUCAUACACAUCAGCAGAAUGGAAUUGCCGAAUGUAAGCAUCGUCACCUUGUUGAAACUGGCCUAA